RNAcentral lists this ribosomal RNA (449 nucleotides) under uncultured bacterium. RNAcentral's name for it is "bacterial SSU rRNA". It matches the Rfam family "Bacterial small subunit ribosomal RNA", at positions 355 to 825 of the family's 1533-position model. The record is from RNAcentral.
UGGGGAAUAUUGCGCAAUGGGCGAAAGCCUGACGCAGCGACGCCGCGUGCGGGAUGAAGGCCUUCGGGUUGUAAACCGCUGUCGGGAGGGACGAAGCUCUGACGGUACCUCCAAAGGAAGCACCGGCUAACUCUGUGCCAGCAGCCGCGGUAAUACAGAGGGUGCAAGCGUUGUCCGGAAUCACUGGGCGUAAAGGGCGCGUAGGCGGCCUGGUAAGUCGGGGGUGAAACGCUGCGGCUCAACCGCAGCACUGCCUUCGAGACUGCUGGGCUUGAGCACGGUAGAGGCUGGUGGAAUUCCCGGUGUAGCGGUGGAAUGCGUAGAGAUUGGGAAGAACAUCGGUGGCGAAGGCGGCCAGCUGGGCCGUUGCUGACGCUGAGGCGCGACAGCGUGGGGAGCAAACAGGAUUAGAUACCCUCGUAGUCCCUGAGCGGGCUGGCAAGGCGCAU